Molecule: ribosomal RNA, 809 nt
Filed under: uncultured phototrophic eukaryote
Lineage: Eukaryota
Description: bacterial SSU rRNA
Rfam family: Bacterial small subunit ribosomal RNA
Source: RNAcentral
UCGGCUAACUCCGUGCCAGCAGCCGCGGUAAGAGGAGGAUGCAGUGUUAUCCGGAAUCACUGGGCGUAAAGCGUCUGUAGGUGGUUUAGUAAGUCUAUUGUUAAAUCUUGAGGCUCAACUUCAAAUCAGCGAUGGAAACUGCUAGACUAGAGUGUGGUAGAGGUAAGAGGAAUUUCCAGUGGAGCGGUGAAAUGCGUAGAUAUUGGAAAGAACACCGAUGGCGAAGGCAUCUUACUGGGCCAUAACUGACACUCAGAGACGAAAGCUAGGGUAGCAAAUGGGAUUAGAUACCCCAGUAGUCCUAGCAGUAAACGAUGGAUACUAGAUGUUGCCCGUAUCAACCCGUGCAGUGUCAAAGCUAACGCGUUAAGUAUCCCGCCUGGGAAGUAUGCACGCAAGUGUGAAACUCAAAGGAAUUGACGGGGGCCCGCACAAGCGGUGGAGCAUGUGGUUUAAUUUGAUGCAACGCGAAGAACCUUACCAGGGUUUGACAUGACAUGAAUUUUUCUGAGAAGAAAAAGUGCCUUUUAGGAACAUGUACACAGGUGGUGCAUGGCUGUCGUCAGCUCGUGUCGUGAGAUGUUGGGUUAAGUCCCGCAACGAGCGCAACCCUUGUUUUUAGUUAUUUUUCUAGAAAGACUGCCGGUUAUAAGCCGGAGGAAGGCGGGGACGACGUCAAGUCAGCAUGCCCCUUAUACCCUGGGCUACACACGUGCUACAUUGGGUAAGACAAUGAGUCGCGAGCCUGUGAAGGUCAGCAAAUCUAUAAACUUACUCUAAGUUCGGAUUGUAGGCUGCAACUCCNCNCC